UCACAAGUUCAAAGCCACAGCAGAAGUGCUCACAGCGCAGCCCUAUCAGAUUCCAAUGAAUCUGCAAAUUCUGCU
Molecule: long non-coding RNA, 75 nt
Filed under: Crocodylus porosus (Australian saltwater crocodile)
Lineage: Eukaryota; Metazoa; Chordata; Crocodylia; Crocodylidae
Description: Mammalian CPEB3 ribozyme (ENSCPRG00005013166.1)
Rfam family: Mammalian CPEB3 ribozyme
About the family: The mammalian CPEB3 ribozyme is a self cleaving RNA located in the second intron of the CPEB3 gene which belongs to a family of genes regulating messenger RNA polyadenylation. This ribozyme is highly conserved and found only in mammals. There is currently only one other known self cleaving ribozyme in mammals, the CoTC motif.
Source: RNAcentral